Molecule: long non-coding RNA, 234 nt
Filed under: Mytilus galloprovincialis (Mediterranean mussel)
Lineage: Eukaryota; Metazoa; Mollusca; Bivalvia; Mytilida; Mytilidae
Source: RNAcentral
UUAGCAAAUGAGGCCCCUCAUGGGGGGUCCUAGUAAUCACAUAAUCACCAUUUUUUUUGCCAAUAUAAUCACAUAAUCAUUAAAUAUUUGCUUAUCUUUAGUAAUCAAAUAAUCAUAAACUAAAAAUACAGUCCUAGGUAAUCAAAUAAUCAUGAAAUAUUUGGCUUAAUAAUCAAAUAAUCAUUAAAAAAACGGCCAAGUAAUCACAUAAUCAAAAACCCCAUGAGGGCCCUC